This 238-nucleotide ribosomal RNA is filed under the name uncultured bacterium. Its description in RNAcentral is "partial 16S ribosomal RNA". It matches the Rfam family "Bacterial small subunit ribosomal RNA", at positions 524 to 761 of the family's 1533-position model. The record is from RNAcentral.
GACGAACCGUGCUAACGUUGUUCGGAAUCACUGGGCUUAAAGGGCGCGUAGGCGGGCCAGCAAGUCAGGGGUGAAAUCCCACGGCUCAACCGUGGAAGGGCCUUUGAUACUGUCGGCCUCGAGGGAGGUAGGGCGUGCGGAACUUCCGGUGGAGCGGUGAAAUGCGUAGAUAUCGGAAGGAACAUCGGUGGCGAAAGCGGCGCGCUGGACCUCUUCUGACGCUGAGGCGCGCAAAGCC